GGGUCCAUGGUCUAGCUCGGUUAUGACGUCGCCCUUACACGGCGAAAAUCCAGGGUUCAAAUCCCUGUGGACCCA
RNAcentral lists this transfer RNA (75 nucleotides) under Nitrosopumilales archaeon. Its description in RNAcentral is "tRNA-Val". It matches the Rfam family "tRNA". From Rfam's summary of the family: Transfer RNA (tRNA) molecules are approximately 80 nucleotides in length. The record is from RNAcentral. RNAcentral also lists the same sequence under 1 other name. Lineage: Archaea; Thermoproteati; Nitrososphaerota; Nitrososphaeria; Nitrosopumilales.